This 601-nucleotide long non-coding RNA is filed under the name Sarcophilus harrisii (Tasmanian devil). RNAcentral's name for it is "lncRNA (ENSSHAG00000022793.1)". Lineage: Eukaryota; Metazoa; Chordata; Mammalia; Dasyuromorphia; Dasyuridae. The record is from RNAcentral.
UAUACCUGUUAUUAUCUGUUAUUUUGUAUAAAUCAUAUAGGAACUCUGUUUCUCAAUUUCCUCACCUGUAAAAUGGUAAAAUGGGACUAGAUGAUGUUCCAUCUAUCUAUCUAUUAUAUAGAUAGAUAGGUAGUUAUUUAUGGAUAUCUAUUUAUAGAUAUCUAUAGAUAUAUAUUUAAAUAGAUAGAUAUUUAUGGAUAUCUGUCUAUACAUAUCUAGAUACAUCUAGAUCUAGAUAGAUAGAGAUACUAUACAGAACAUAUACAUAGAAUAUAAAAUCCCACACGUGUGUGGGAUUGUAUAUUUUUAAAGUGAUAUGCUAGAGUACCAUCUUUUCUUUUAAGCUUUCAUAAGUUUUUAAACAUUCAUAGCAAAUGGCAUCAAUCAAGGAGAGAUAGUCAGAAUCUUCUGAAUUGUGUAUCAUUUUUUUUUUUCUUUUAAGCUUUGCCAAGGAUUCUAUCCAGGCCCAGAUAACUGUCAAGACCAAUUAUAGAAGCUUGCCAUUCUGCUCUUUUGGAGAGAUGCUGACUUCUUCCUUAUCAAGAUUAACACAAUUUGAAGUGUAAGAGGCCAGACUGUCAGUUGCAGAGAAGAGCAGAAG